CAGUAGCCGCGGUAAUACGUAGGUGGCAAGCGUUGUCCGGAAUUAUUGGGCGUAAAGGGCUCGCAGGCGGUUUCUUAAGUCUGAUGUGAAAGCCCCCGGCUCAACCGGGGAGGGUCAUUGGAAACUUGGAAACUUGGGUGCAGAAGAGGAGAGUGGAAUUCCACGUGUAGCGGUUAAAUGCGUAGAGAUGUGGAGGAACACCAGUGGCGAAGGCGACUCUCAGGUCUGUAACUGACGCUGAGGAGCGAAAGCGUGGGGAGCGAACAGGAUUAGAUACCCCAGUAGUCCCGUCUCUUAUACA
This 301-nucleotide ribosomal RNA is filed under the name uncultured bacterium. Its description in RNAcentral is "partial 16S ribosomal RNA". It matches the Rfam family "Bacterial small subunit ribosomal RNA", at positions 509 to 808 of the family's 1533-position model. The record is from RNAcentral.